This 505-nucleotide ribosomal RNA is filed under the name uncultured Phycisphaerales bacterium. Its description in RNAcentral is "bacterial SSU rRNA". It matches the Rfam family "Bacterial small subunit ribosomal RNA", at positions 551 to 1050 of the family's 1533-position model. Lineage: Bacteria; Pseudomonadati; Planctomycetota; Phycisphaerae; Phycisphaerales. The record is from RNAcentral.
UCACUGGGCUUAAAGAGUGUGUAGGCGGACAUACAGGUACUUUGUGAAAUCCCACGGCUCAACCGUGGAAUAGCUUGGUAAACCAUAUGUCUUGAGGCAGGUAGGGGUGGUCGGAACGAUAGGUGGAGCGGUGAAAUGCGUAGAUAUCUAUCGGAACGCCAACGGAGAAGUCAGGCCACUGGGCCUGUCCUGACGCUGAGACACGAAAGCAUGGGUAGCGAACGGGAUUAGAUACCCCGGUAGUCCAUGCCGUAAACGAUGCGAACUAGAUCGAGGAGGUUUGACGCCCUCUUGGUCGAAGCAAAAGUGUUAAGUUCGCCGCCUGGGGAGUACGGUCGCAAGGCUAAAACUCAAAGGAAUUGACGGGGGCUCACACAAGCGGUGGAGCAUGUGGCUUAAUUCGAAGCAACGCGAAGAACCUUAUCCAGGGUUUGACAUGUAUGGAUUAACUCAUUGAAAGAUGAGCCACACCUUCGGGUGGAACAUACACAGGUGCUGCAUGGCU